UCAGAAAGACUGAGUUGAAGUCCCCAGG
Molecule: non-coding RNA, 28 nt
Filed under: Homo sapiens (human)
Lineage: Eukaryota; Metazoa; Chordata; Mammalia; Primates; Hominidae
Source: RNAcentral